AGAGUUCGAUUCUGGCUCAGGAUGAACGCUGGCGGCGUGCCUAACACAUGCAAGUCGAGCGAUCUUCUUCGGAAGAGAGCGGCGGACGGGUGAGUAACGCGUGGGUAACCUGCCUCAUACACAUGGAUAACAUACCGAAAGGUAUGCUAAUACAAGAUGAUAUAAGAGAUUCGCAUGGAUUUCUUAUCAAAGCUCCGGCGGUAUGAGAUGGACCCGCGUCUGAUUAGCUAGUUGGUAAGGUAAUGGCUUACCAAGGCGACGAUCAGUAGCCGACCUGAGAGGGUGAUCGGCCACAUUGGAACUGAGACACGGUCCAA
Molecule: ribosomal RNA, 317 nt
Filed under: uncultured bacterium
Lineage: Bacteria
Description: bacterial SSU rRNA
Rfam family: Bacterial small subunit ribosomal RNA
Source: RNAcentral